This 212-nucleotide ribosomal RNA is filed under the name uncultured soil bacterium. RNAcentral describes it as "partial 16S ribosomal RNA". It matches the Rfam family "Bacterial small subunit ribosomal RNA", at positions 26 to 238 of the family's 1533-position model. The record is from RNAcentral.
AGAUUGAACGCUGGCGGCAUGCCUUACACAUGCAAGCCGAACGGCAGCACGGGGGCAACCCUGGUGGCGAGUGGCGAACGGGUGAGUAAUGCAUCGGAACGUGCCCAGUAGUGGGGGAUAACUAGUCGAAAGAUUAGCUAAUACCGCAUACGACCUAUGGGUGAAAGCGGGGGGUUCGCAAGAACCUCGCGCUAUCGGAGCGGCCGAUGUCU